Molecule: ribosomal RNA, 1081 nt
Filed under: uncultured Rhizaria
Lineage: Eukaryota
Description: SSU rRNA
Rfam family: Eukaryotic small subunit ribosomal RNA
Source: RNAcentral
CGGUAAUUCCAGCUCCAAUAGCGUAUACUAAAGUUGUUGCAGUUAAAAAGCUCGUAGUUGGAUUUCUGCGGGGACGGAGCGGCCGGUCGCAACUUGCGACUCGAGCUAGCGCUUUCCCCGCAUCCUGCCGCGAACCGUGCUACCAUUAGUUUGGUGGCGCUGGGGAUCGGCUCGAUUACUUUGAGAAAAAUAGAGUGUUCAAAGCAGGCCACACGCCUUGAAUAAGUUAGCAUGGAAUAAUGACUAAGGACUUCGGUUCUAUUUUGUUGGUGUUCGGGACUGAAGUAAUGAUUGAUAGGGACAGUUGGGGCGGUCUGUAUUCCAAAGCGAGAGGUGAAAUUCUUAGACCUUCGGAAGACAAACAGCUGCGAAAGCGUUCCGCAAGGAUGUUCCCUUUGAUCAAGAACGAAAGUUGGGGGAUCGAAGACGAUCAGAUACCGUCGUAGUCUCAACUAUAAACUAUACCAGCUAGGGAUCGGUCAACGUUUAAUUAUUCGACUUGAUCGGCACCUUAUGAGAAAUCAAAGCAUCUGGGUUCCGGGGGGAGUAUGGUCGCAAGGCUGAAACUUAAAGGAAUUGACGGAAGGGCACCACCAGCCGUGGAGCCUGUGGCUUAAUUUGACUCAACACGGGAAAACUUACCAGGUCCAGACAUAGUAAGGAUUGACAGAUUGAUAGCUCUUUCUUGAUUCUGUGGGUGGUGGUGCAUGGCCGUUCUUAGUUGGUGGAGUGAUUUGUCUGGUUAAUUCCGUUAACGAACGAGACCCCAGCCUGCUAAAUAGCGCGGCUGAGCUUUGCUCGGUGCGAGCUUCUUAGAGGGACUAUGAUGCGCGAUAGCACAUGGAAGUUUGGGGCAAUAACAGGUCUGUGAUGCCCUUAGAUGUUCUGGGCCGCACACGGGCUACACUGGCGCCUGCAACGAGCAUAUCAGCUGGCCCGAGAGGGUCUUGGCUAAUCUUUUGAACCGGCGCCGUGCUUGGGAUUGACCUUUGCAAUUGUUGGUCAUGCAACGAGGAAUGCCUUGUAAACGCGAGUCAUCAGCUCGCAUUGAAUACGUCCCUGCCCUUUGUACACACCGCCC